Molecule: long non-coding RNA, 1109 nt
Organism: Drosophila nasuta
Lineage: Eukaryota; Metazoa; Arthropoda; Insecta; Diptera; Drosophilidae
Exons: 6
Source: RefSeq, a predicted model, not a curated record
UUUAAUUUUUAUCGAGUUUACAGUGAUUGAUUCGUGGGGAUCGAUUCCAUCUGGAAUACUCUAUGGAAAUUUCUUUGACAUGGGCAACUACGAUGAGUGCAUCAAAACCUAUAAAGCGAUAACAGAUAGUCAUAGCAUAAGAGGGAAAUACUGCUUUGCCAAGAUUUCCUUCCGUGCAACUCUCAAGAUUGCAGUUUGCUUUCCCUCCUCAUGUUCAGCAGAAUUAAUGGAUACCUUUAUUGGGCAAAUUGCAAACAGGUUACUCAAUGUGACUAUAACCAAUAAUAUUGUGGAUGAAGCAACCUGUUCAACAGCUAAGAAGGAACCCUUUUUUGGAGUCACUAUAUUAAUCAUUGUAAUACUGUCAGUUCUGGCUGCUGCUAUGAUUUUAGCCACGCUUUGCGACUAUUUCAUUUGUAGAGAUCAGAAUAAAUUGCCAAUAAUUAUUAAAGCUUUCUCCGCACGUGCCAAUUCUCGUGCUCUCUUUCGUCUCGUCGAACCCAUAUCGAAUCCCAACGUCAUCGAUUGUGUUCAUGGCAUGAGAUGCUUGUCUCUCAUCUAGGUUAUCUAAGGUCAUCAAUAUAUUGUAUUACUUAGAUCACCUAAAACUAAUUACGUGAGCCUUCUAACUUGGCUUCAAUCGUUUUUCGCAAGCUUUAUAUUACAUGGUCCCUUCUCAGUUGAUACAUUCUUCUUUUUAAGUGGUCUGUUGUUGGUAAUGAUUGCUCUACGGUAGCUCGAAAAAUCCAAAGGCCAAAUGAAUAUUCCAAUGAUGUAUCUCCAUCGCUAUCUACGGCUCACUCCUGUCUUGGCAUAAGGUAUUCCCAUGUACAUGAAGCUUCUUCCUCUAAUGAGUGAUGGUCCUGUGACUGACAGAGUUAAUUUUGGCGACUUCGACGUUUGCAAACGCACUUGGAAUUUGUCUCUACUCUAUGUUCAGAACUAUGCAACUAAAGAAAUCUGUCUUGGUCAUACUUGGUACCUGGCUGUAGAUAUGCAACUGUAUAUUCUAUCGCCAAUUUUUCUUAUCUCGCUAUACAAGUGGGGCAAGAAAGCCGCUGGGGGGAAUCUUUGUACUCAUGCUUCUACUCUCUGGCUGCCUUUUUGCU